UACAGAGGUCCCAAGCGUUGUUCGGAUUCAUCGGGCGUAAAGGGUGUGUAGGUGGCGCCGUAAGUCGGGUGUGAAAUCUCGGGGCUUAACUCCGAAACUGCAUUCGAUACUGCGGUGCUUGAGGACUGGAGAGGAGACUGGAAUUCAUGGUGUAGCAGUGAAAUGCGUAGAGAUCAUGAGGAAGACCAGUGGCGAAGGCGGGUCUCUGGACAGUUCCUGACACUGAGACACGAAGGCCAGGGGAGCAAACGGG
RNAcentral lists this ribosomal RNA (253 nucleotides) under uncultured bacterium. Its description in RNAcentral is "partial 16S ribosomal RNA". It matches the Rfam family "Bacterial small subunit ribosomal RNA", at positions 524 to 776 of the family's 1533-position model. The record is from RNAcentral.